AACGCGAAGAACCUUACCAGGUCUUGACAUMCUYGUGCUAUUCCUAGAGAUAGGAAGUUCCUUCGGGACACGGGAUACAGGUGGUGCAUGGUUGUCGUCAGCUCGUGUCGUGAGAUGUUGGGUUAAGUCCCGCAACGAGCGCAACCCCUAUUGUUAGUUGCCAUCAUUAAGUUGGGCACUCUAACGAGACUGCCGGUGAUAAACCGGAGGAAGGUGGGGAUGACGUCAAAUCAUCAUGCCCCUUAUGACCUGGGCUACACACGUGCUACAAUGGAUGGUACAACGAGUCGCGAGACAGUGAUGUUUAGCUAAUCUCUUAAAACCAUUCUCAGUUCGGAUUGUAGGCUGCAACUCGCCUACAUGAAGUCGGAAUCGCUAGUAAU
Molecule: ribosomal RNA, 383 nt
Filed under: bacterium enrichment culture DGGE gel band MRS13
Lineage: Bacteria
Description: bacterial SSU rRNA
Rfam family: Bacterial small subunit ribosomal RNA
Source: RNAcentral